UGGGGAAUUUUGGACAAUGGGCGAAAGCCUGAUCCAGCAAUGCCGCGUGUGUGAAGAAGGCCUUCGGGUUGUAAAGCACUUUUGUCCGGAAAGAAAUCCUCUGGGUUAAUACCUCGGGGGGAGUGACGGUACCGGAAGAAUAAGCACCGGCUAACUACGUGCCAGCAGCCGCGGUAAUACGUAGGGUGCAAGCGUUAAUCGGAAUUACUGGGCGUAAAGCGUGCGCAGGCGGUUUUGUAAGACGGACGUGAAAUCCCCGGGCUUAACCUGGGAACUGCAUUCGUGACUGCAAGGCUAGAGUAUGGCAGAGGGGGGUAGAAUUCCACGUGUAGCAGUGAAAUGCGUAGAGAUGUGGAGGAAUACCGAUGGCGAAGGCAGCCCCCUGGGCCAAGUACUGACGCUCAUGCACG
RNAcentral lists this ribosomal RNA (410 nucleotides) under uncultured bacterium. Its description in RNAcentral is "partial 16S ribosomal RNA". It matches the Rfam family "Bacterial small subunit ribosomal RNA", at positions 355 to 755 of the family's 1533-position model. The record is from RNAcentral.